UCGCUGAUUGGUUGAGCAGU
RNAcentral lists this microRNA (20 nucleotides) under Caenorhabditis elegans. Its description in RNAcentral is "cel-miR-4931". Lineage: Eukaryota; Metazoa; Nematoda; Chromadorea; Rhabditida; Rhabditidae. The record is from miRBase by way of RNAcentral.